UCCGAGGGAUGUUAGACCUAGAGUUGC
Molecule: non-coding RNA, 27 nt
Filed under: Homo sapiens (human)
Lineage: Eukaryota; Metazoa; Chordata; Mammalia; Primates; Hominidae
Source: RNAcentral